This 232-nucleotide ribosomal RNA is filed under the name uncultured bacterium. RNAcentral describes it as "partial 16S ribosomal RNA". It matches the Rfam family "Bacterial small subunit ribosomal RNA", at positions 99 to 334 of the family's 1533-position model. The record is from RNAcentral.
CGGACGGGUGAGUAAUGUCUGGGAAAAUGCCUGAUGGAGGGGGAUAACUACUGGAAACGGUAGCUAAUACCGCAUAACGUCGCAAGACCAAAGAGGGGGACCUUAGGGCCUCUUGCCAUCGGAUGUGCCCAGAUGGGAUUAGCUAGUAGGUGGGGUAACGGCUCACCUAGGCGACGAUCCCUAGCUGGUCUGAGAGGAUGACCAGCCACACUGGAACUGAGACACGGUCCAG